This 253-nucleotide ribosomal RNA is filed under the name uncultured bacterium. Its description in RNAcentral is "partial 16S ribosomal RNA". It matches the Rfam family "Bacterial small subunit ribosomal RNA", at positions 524 to 776 of the family's 1533-position model. The record is from RNAcentral.
UACGAAGGGGGCUAGCGUUGUUCGGAAUUACUGGGCGUAAAGGGCGCGUAGGCGGUCUGAUUAGUCAGAUGUGAAAUUCCCGGGCUCAACCUGGGCGCUGCAUUUGAUACUGUCAGGCUUGAAUUCAGGAGAGGAUAGCGGAAUUCCCAGUGUAGAGGUGAAAUUCGUAGAUAUUGGGAAGAACACCGGUGGCGAAGGCGGCGACCUGGUCCGAUACUGACGCUGAGGCGCGAAAGCGUGGGGAGCAAACAGG